Molecule: long non-coding RNA, 103 nt
Organism: Maylandia zebra (zebra mbuna)
Lineage: Eukaryota; Metazoa; Chordata; Actinopteri; Cichliformes; Cichlidae
Source: RefSeq, a predicted model, not a curated record
ACGCAUGAAGCUGCCACGACUGAUUCAAAUGAGGAGCGGCUGCCUCCAGUUCUGACUCCUCAAUGGCCUUUUCAGCUUAAGCAUGAGUACACAGCUAAGCAAG